GGAGAGGUGUCCGAGUGGUUGAAGGAGCACGACUGGAAAGUGUGUAUACGCUAACCGCGUAUCGAGGGUUCGAAUCCCUCUCUCUCCGCCA
RNAcentral lists this transfer RNA (91 nucleotides) under Gammaproteobacteria bacterium. RNAcentral describes it as "tRNA-Ser". It matches the Rfam family "tRNA". Rfam says of the family: Transfer RNA (tRNA) molecules are approximately 80 nucleotides in length. Their secondary structure includes four short double-helical elements and three loops (D, anti-codon, and T loops). The record is from RNAcentral. Lineage: Bacteria; Pseudomonadati; Pseudomonadota; Gammaproteobacteria.